UGGGGAAUCUUCCGCAAUGGACGAAAGUCUGACGGAGCAACGCCGCGUGUAUGAUGAAGGUCUUCGGAUUGUAAAGUACUGUCAUUGGGGAAGAACGGUUUUCUUGAAAAGAUUGAGAAGACAUGACGGUACCCAAGGAGGAAGCCCCGGCUAACUACGUGCCAGCAGCCGCGGUAAUACGUAGGGGGCAAGCGUUGUCCGGAAUUAUUGGGCGUAAAGGGCGCGUAGGCGGGCCUUUAAGUCCGGUGUGAAAGAUCAGGGCUCAACCCUGAGAGUGCAUCGGAAACUGGAGGCCUUGAGGACAGGAGAGGAAAGUGGAAUUCCACGUGUAGCGGUGAAAUGCGUAGAUAUGUGGAGGAACACCAGUGGCGAAGGCGACUUUCUGGACUGUAACUGACGCUGAGGCGCGAAAGCGUGGGGAGCAAACAGGAUUAGAUACCCUGGUAGUCCACGCCGUAAACGAUGAGUGCUAGGUGUAGAGGGUAUCGACCCCUUCUGUGCCGCAGUUAACACAAUAAGCACUCCGCCUGGGGAGUACGGCCGCAAGGUUGAAACUUAAAGGAAUUGACGGGGUCAUAGCUGUUUCCU
RNAcentral lists this ribosomal RNA (588 nucleotides) under uncultured bacterium. RNAcentral describes it as "partial 16S ribosomal RNA". It matches the Rfam family "Bacterial small subunit ribosomal RNA", at positions 355 to 1375 of the family's 1533-position model. The record is from RNAcentral.